This 464-nucleotide ribosomal RNA is filed under the name uncultured bacterium. RNAcentral's name for it is "partial 16S ribosomal RNA". It matches the Rfam family "Bacterial small subunit ribosomal RNA", at positions 28 to 507 of the family's 1533-position model. The record is from RNAcentral.
GACGAACGCUGGCGGCGUGCUUAACACAUGCAAGUCGAACGGAGAGGCCCUGCUUGCAGGGUACUCGAGUGGCGAACGGGUGAGUAACACGUGGGUGAUCUGCCCUGCACUUCGGGAUAAGCCUGGGAAACUGGGUCUAAUACCGGAUAGGUGCCAUUUUUAGUGUGAUGGUUGGAAAGUGGUUUUGGUGUAGGAUGAGCUCGCGGCCUAUCAGCUUGUUGGUGGGGUAAUGGCCUACAAAGGCGGGGACGGGUAGCCGGCUUGAGAGGGUGGAAGGCCACAUGGGGCUUCGGAAAGGCGCAGGAUGCAACCGGGGGCAACAGGGGGGAAUCUUGCCCAAAUGGGCGGAGGCUGGUGGAAGGGUUGCCGGGUGGGGAUGACGGCUUUCGGGUUGUAAACUCCUUUCGCUAGGGACGAAGCUUUUUGUGACGGUACCUAGAUAAGAAGCACCGGCUAACUACGUG